GGAGGGGCACAGAGUGCAGAAGUCCACUGUAACUGAAACAGUGCACUGCUCUCCAUCCCUGCGCAUUUAUUUUUAAAUCCAUUUCAUUCACUAUGUUAUUAACAUGUCAAUACAACAACUUAUUCUGCCCGACUGCAUUGAGGCAGAGUAUCUAUUUGGUCAAUAACUCAAAUAGCCAAGCUGUUGAAAGUAUUCUAAACCUAGGACAUCAAGAGAACCCCAAUUUACCGUGAAGUUGAGUUUUCUAUUUUUUAAUUAGAUGCUCUUUUAUUUUGGCUACUCUGUGGGUACAUGUGUUACCUAAAGCACGUUUGAUGUUGCUAAGUAGGCUAGUUUAUAACUUCGGUAGCAUUGAAGCUGUGUUACGUUGCUCAGCGGUAGAUACGCACCGUUCCACCUACCACCCCAUACAUCAGAUAUUUUGGAGAUUUUCCAUCACCACCAUGGCUGCCGCUUCUUGCUAAUGCACCAACUCAAUCCACAUUCUCGGGCGCAGGACUGCAUUUUUGCGAGACGGAUUAAUUUCCCAACGCCCAGGCGGCCGGCAGACGAACCUUGUUUAACUGACCCUGAUUGGUUGACGUGAACACGCACAGAUUGUAUGGAUGGUGUACAGUGAUACCAGUGAGAAUGGAACUACUAUUUCACCCCUGCUUCUAAAUACUACAUUGGCUGAAGGCCCAGUGCUAGAAGAGGAGGUCCCCGAUACCCAGAGAGGUCCUCAAAUACCCAGAGGGGGUACCCAGAGGCAUUAUGACUGAACAGGGCCCAACUCUGCUUGGCUCUCUGACUUGAAUGGAAACAAUACAGCAACUUAGAGAAAGAAGCAACAACUCUACGUGCAAGUUUGUCACUGUACGACCAACCCAGGAUGUAAACCACUGUACACCACAACACACACACACACUGCCAAAGCCAUCUGAUUGUGUUGUGUCUAUGUCUUUUCUCCUCUGUGGUGGAUAAGGGAUGGGGAAUGAAGGUGGGACUCUGGCCUGUGCUAUGAGAACGGUCAUGUGACAUGACAAGGGCAAGACAAAAAAAAACAUGACAGAUCCAAAAAGAACAGGUAUCAAGACAUUGUAAACAAUAGAUAUAGAAUCUAAUAAUUCCAGUUAUAUGGUUGUAACUUGCUCGGAACAUCACAUUCUCCAUAAAACAAUGUUAAUAGUAUGAAAUAAGUGAAUAAAUGUA
Molecule: long non-coding RNA, 1191 nt
Organism: Oncorhynchus mykiss (rainbow trout)
Lineage: Eukaryota; Metazoa; Chordata; Actinopteri; Salmoniformes; Salmonidae
Source: RefSeq, a predicted model, not a curated record